GGAGGGUGCAAGCGUUAUCCGGAUUCACUGGGUUUAAAGGGAGCGUAGGUGGGUUGGUAAGUCAGUGGUGAAAUCCCCGAGCUUAACUUGGGAACUGCCAUUGAUACUAUCAGUCUUGAAUACUGUGGAGGUUAGCGGAAUAUGUCAUGUAGCGGUGAAAUGCUUAGAUAUGACAUAGAACACCAAUUGCGAAGGCAGCUGGCUACACAAUUAUUGACACUGAGGCUCGAAAGCGUGGGGAUCAAACAGGAUUAGAUACCCUGGUAGUCCACGCCCUAAACUAUGGAUACUCGACAUACGCGAUACACUGUGUGUGUCUGAGCGAAAGCAUUAAGUAUCCCACCUGGGAAGUACGAUCGCAAGAUUG
This 367-nucleotide ribosomal RNA is filed under the name uncultured bacterium. RNAcentral's name for it is "bacterial SSU rRNA". It matches the Rfam family "Bacterial small subunit ribosomal RNA", at positions 527 to 896 of the family's 1533-position model. The record is from RNAcentral.